CGGUAAUUCCAGCUCCAAUAGCGUAUNUUAAAGUUGCUGCAGUUAAAAAGCUCGUAGUUGAAUUUCGGGAUUAAUUUAUUGGUCGUGCUAUUGUACGUACUGGUAUUAUUGAUUCCUACCUUCUGACGAACCCAUGAUGUCAUUAAUUUGGUGUCAUGGGGAAUCAGGACUGUACUUUGAAAAAAUUAGAGUGUUUAAAGCAGGCUCACGCUUGAAUACAUUAGCAUGGAAUAACGAAAUAGGACGUUUGAUUCUAUUUUGUUGGUUUACUAGGAUCGACGUAAUGAUUAAUAGGGAUAGUUGGGGGCAUUAGUAUUCAAUUGUCAGAGGUGAAAUUCUUGGAUUUAUUGAAGACUAACUACUGCGAAAGCAUUUGCCAAGGAUGUUUUCAUUAAUCAAGAACGAAAAGUUAGGGGGAUCGAAGACGAUCAGAUACCGUCGUAGUCUUAACCAUAAACUAUGCCGACUAGAGAUCGGAUGAUGUUAAUUUUUAAUGACUCAUUCGGCGCCUUACG
Molecule: ribosomal RNA, 515 nt
Filed under: uncultured Glomus
Lineage: Eukaryota; Fungi; Glomeromycota; Glomeromycetes; Glomerales; Glomeraceae
Description: SSU rRNA
Rfam family: Eukaryotic small subunit ribosomal RNA
Source: RNAcentral